RNAcentral lists this transfer RNA (75 nucleotides) under Halorientalis sp. IM1011. It matches the Rfam family "tRNA". Rfam says of the family: Transfer RNA (tRNA) molecules are approximately 80 nucleotides in length. Their secondary structure includes four short double-helical elements and three loops (D, anti-codon, and T loops). The record is from Rfam by way of RNAcentral. Lineage: Archaea; Methanobacteriati; Methanobacteriota; Halobacteria; Halobacteriales; Haloarculaceae.
GCCUUCGUAGCUCAGUCUGGACAGAGUGCUGGCUUUCGAAGCCAAGUGCCGCACGUUCGAAUCGUGCCGAGGGCG